GAUGAAGAACGUAGCGAAAUGCGAUAAGUAAUGUGAAUUGCAGAAUUCAGUGAAUCAUCGAAUCUUUGAACGCACAUUGCGCCCGCCAGUAUUCUGGCGGGCAUGCCUGUUCGAGCGUCAUUUCAACCCUCAGGGCCCUUUUGGACCUGGCGUUGGGGCUCGGCCGCUACCCUGCGGCCGUCCCCGAAAGAUAGUAGCGGUCUCGCUGUAGCCUCCUCUGCGUAGUAGUUACAUCUCGCACUGGAACGCGGCGCGGCCAUGCCGUUAAACACCCCACUUCUCAAGGUUGACCUCGGAUCAGGUAGGAAUACCCGCUGAACUUAAGCAUAUCAAUAAGCGGAGGA
Molecule: unclassified non-coding RNA, 344 nt
Filed under: soil metagenome
Description: partial contains 5.8S ribosomal RNA, internal transcribed spacer 2, and large subunit ribosomal RNA
Rfam family: 5.8S ribosomal RNA (bases 1-120)
Source: RNAcentral